RNAcentral lists this long non-coding RNA (3413 nucleotides) under Calidris pygmaea (Spoon-billed sandpiper). RNAcentral describes it as "lncRNA (ENSCPGG00000017978.1)". Lineage: Eukaryota; Metazoa; Chordata; Aves; Charadriiformes; Scolopacidae. The record is from RNAcentral.
UGCUGUUCCCGUCCAUGUGCACCCGAGUCUUGUGACUGGGGAAGAGAGAGCAGCUCCACUCCCACUGGGAAAGGGGUUUUGAAAUGUUGAAAUGCAUCAGGCUGCUGAAUUUUAGAUUACUUAAGUGUUGUUAUCGUGAUGAGGAGGCUCAGAUAAGUUUGAAGGCUUUAUCAGCCUUUGCAGAUCUCUCCCAGCACUCUGCACUCCUUCAUCUUUGUAUCACAAACUCCUUCUUCAGCAGGAUUUCUCUGAUUCAGCGUCGGUUCUGCGAGGCCCUGCCUGCAGUCCUGCCAUGGCACAAUUUCAGCCUGACCCUGUGGAUGAGCAUGAGCUGUGCAGGGAAAUGCUCCAGAACAAACCAAAAGCUGAGGUAUGCGGUGUAACUCAGGGAACUUCAUCAGAGCUGCUCUGACCUUCGUGGUGUUUCAGUUUAGCCCCCGUGUGAUACUCCUGGGAUGCCAAACUUACAGGAGGAGAGUUCUGAAGAUGUGGUCUGAGGGUUUGUCCACACAGAGCAGGCAGGGAUUCUGAGCUAGCUCUUUUUUAUCAACACCAAGAACUAGAAGCAGAAGAGGCACUGCUCUGCUCUGGUCUUUGGCUCACAUCUCCACCUGGCCCUGCCAUGUGGAAGCCCCGCCACGUGCUUGAGGUUCUCCACCCUGUGGUCCAUGGACCAAGAGGGUUGUGCUGAGGAAAGCAAGAUUGGUUCAAUUUGCUAGAACUGCCUAUUAAAAUUGCAGCAGGUUUCCAAAGCAGCAGAUAAAAAAACUGCAUCUGCAAGCUGCGUUCCCUGGUGUUGCCCAGGCUUGGUCGCUCCUGCUGACCAGCCUGCUGAGGCUUGGAUGGAGUCCCACGCUCAGCCCUGCCCCAUAAAGGGGAGUUACUACUCCAGCAGCACGUUCUUGAUUAGCGCCUUCCAGGACAGCACGUGUCAGAGAAACAGCUACAGAACCCUUCUCCCAUCCAGUGCAUCCAGCUCUGUGCCCGUCAUCACCUCAGUGGUGUUGAAAGUAAUUGGAGAUUAGGCAUCUCCACGCCCUUGGAAAUUUACCUCCUGCUAAAGUGACUGCAAACCUCUGUGCCCUUGGAAUGCUUUGAGUCGUAUUCCGGCAGUCUAAGGGGGCGCUGAGUGGGAGGUAAGCCCCUCCAACACCUUGCAAACUCCAAUGCCCUGGUACCCGUAGGGAUGUGUGAAGACAGCGGUGAACUGGCGGAGUUACAAAAGUGGGUCAACUCACCUGUGAAGUAUUCUGGGUCAGGUACUAAGAAGCAAAUAAGCUCUUUAUGUUACCUAAAUUACAAGUGGGUAAACUUCGUGUACUGGGAUUUAUCCCUGACUACCCUGCUAAAGGAACGCGCUCCAAAAUGGCUCAUGCUGAAGAGGACACAGUCAAGUGCCUUUGGUGGAGGAAACUAAGUCAGCAGCCCCCAAAUGGUCUGGCGUUAAUGGAUUUAACGCUUCCCCUCCCCUACCUGGUGCAGUAACUUUUCUCUAGGGACAAAGCUUAAGAAAGACUCAGCCAAGCCCUUGUGUAGCUUGUGGUUUGGCUUCCUGCCCGCUCUGCCCUUCAAGCAGGAAAUUCUCAAAGGGAAGGGAGUGCUUUGUGAAGCUACCUUAAGACUCUGCCACUUCUCUUUUAGUCAGAACUUAGCAUCAGGUCAUCUGGAACUCCUGGAAGCUGACCAGACAGACUGAUGGCGCCUACAGAAGACAUUUAAGCAACUUCUCUACCUUGAUCAUUUUCCCUCAUCUUUUGUCCUUUACGUCCUUGAUUGCUGUUAUUCAGUCCUGAGAUAAUACACGCCUGAUAUCACUGAGAUGGGAGAGACAAGCAAGGAGGAAGAGAUCAAAGGAAGGAGAAGAAAGAGAAGAUGCCAAAGGCAGAAGAAGAAAGAGGGAAGAUGCCAAAUACUUCCUUGAUUUACCUACUUUACAUACCCGGCACACAAAGUUUCAGAAAUUCUGAAUGUACUUAAUUUCCAGAGUUCUGGGCUUGCCACGUAAUCACCAGACAGCAGGAGGCUGUCUGCAGGGGCCAUGGGCAUCCUCUUUUCCACCAGCAGAGGAAGUAGCUUGAAAGCUGGAUCCAGAAAGCCCAGGAGGCCCUUGGCACUUGUGAGCGUUGGCCGGACUUGAAGAGAAACUCGGCAGCACAAGCUGGGAAACAAGUACGGCUAAAAUAUCUUUCUGCUUCCCUCUGCCGGCCAGAUAACAGCAGUACCAACGUAAUUCCUGCAAAUCAGGGAAGGGUCAGGGUGAAGAAUAGUAAAAGAUAAGAGGGGUCAUCUUGUGCUGUCACUACACAAGCAUUAACUAAAUCGAUUUCUUUGAAUUUGCUCCUGAAUUUCAGAAGAAAUGCAAUGUAUGUGUGUCCUGGAGAGCUCAAGAAGAUUGGAAAUGGGGUCAAAUACAGGUGGGUGACAGGCGAGGAGAUGGCAGAGAGGUGGGCGCUGUAUGUGGAGUGAUUUCAAGGUUUAAACCAAUAAUAUUCCUGUACUGUUUUUCUCAUCCUGUUAUCAGUUGUGAUUACAAAGUUAAUUUAACAACCUUGAUCUAAACUUAGUUGCUAUUCCUGUUACAAAACAGGACCAUUAUGAGUUGCAAAAAAAAUUCAAAACAAAACCAUAAACUUCAAACAUUUUUGUUACUCACUGGGUGAUACUGAAAUCUCUUUGACUGAGGAUUAAAUCCCUCUUUUUCUUAGUCUGAGAUUACUUUUCUAUGGUAUUUAUAAGGGCUGGAGGAAAUCUUGAAACCUAAAAGGAACAGCCAAUGAUAACAAAAUUCUGAAUAUGGAGAUACAGGAAACAUGUAACUACAACCCCAGCUCUCAUUUAAAACGUGUAAGUUAAAGGCAAAUCUAACAUUAAUGCAGUAUUCAAGUCAAGAAAUCAGCAGUCAUUUCUGCAUUUAAUUUCCCUGUUUUAUUUAAGCAGCAAAGGGGAAAAAAGCACUUUGAAGCACAACUGUUGAUGAAUGGGCUUUAAGGGUGACUCAGUGCUGUUCCAUCGCUUUUGCAGAUUGUCCUCAUUUACUGACUCAGGCAUCUUCACAACUCCCUUCACUGGGCUGACCCUCUCUAAAUUAAAAAUCCGAAGAGAGAUGCUGAGUGCCCAGCUCCUGCCGAACUUGGAUGCUGCGCUGCCUCAUGCCACCCGUGAAGCACUGCAUUUUGCAGGCCUGGAAUGAACUGCCUUGUCUUGGCGCACUUGUUGACUGCCAGGAAAUGGUGAGGUGGAAGUCACUACUCUUUUUCAAACUGCAUAGUCUCGCACAGACGUAUCAUGACAAAAACACGGAUACCUCAUCUAAUCAAGCUCUGGCGUUAGUUACUACCAGUCACAGAGCUGCACUAGUGCUGCAUUAGGGAAGUGUCAAUAAAAGGCCACUGAAAAUAUGUGUGCUUCUAAAC